RNAcentral lists this ribosomal RNA (532 nucleotides) under bacterium 71-L049640-122-012-G09. RNAcentral describes it as "bacterial SSU rRNA". It matches the Rfam family "Bacterial small subunit ribosomal RNA", at positions 78 to 625 of the family's 1533-position model. The record is from RNAcentral.
CUUUCGGGGUGGAUUAGUGGCGAACGGGUGAGUAACACGUGGGCAAUCUGCCCUUCACUCUGGGACAAGCCCUGGAAACGGGGUCUAAUACCGGAUAACACUCUGUCCCGCAUGGGACGGGGUUAAAAGCUCCGGCGGUGAAGGAUGAGCCCGCGGCCUAUCAGCUUGUUGGUGGGGUAAUGGCCUACCAAGGCGACGACGGGUAGCCGGCCUGAGAGGGCGACCGGCCACACUGGGACUGAGACACGGCCCAGACUCCUACGGGAGGCAGCAGUGGGGAAUAUUGCACAAUGGGCGAAAGCCUGAUGCAGCGACGCCGCGUGAGGGAUGACGGCCUUCGGGUUGUAAACCUCUUUCAGCAGGGAAGAAGCGAAAGUGACGGUACCUGCAGAAGAAGCGCCGGCUAACUACGUGCCAGCAGCCGCGGUAAUACGUAGGGCGCAAGCGUUGUCCGGAAUUAUUGGGCGUAAAGAGCUCGUAGGCGGCUUGUCACGUCGGAUGUGAAAGCCCGGGGCUUAACCCCGGGUCUGCA